GUUAAAAUGCAGAUUCUGAUUCAGUAGGUCUGGGUUAGGGCCAGAUAUUCUGCAUUUUUAACAAGCUC
This 68-nucleotide microRNA precursor is filed under the name Tupaia belangeri (northern tree shrew). Its description in RNAcentral is "miRNA (ENSTBEG00000020646.1)". Lineage: Eukaryota; Metazoa; Chordata; Mammalia; Scandentia; Tupaiidae. The record is from RNAcentral.